This 253-nucleotide ribosomal RNA is filed under the name uncultured bacterium. RNAcentral's name for it is "partial 16S ribosomal RNA". It matches the Rfam family "Bacterial small subunit ribosomal RNA", at positions 524 to 776 of the family's 1533-position model. The record is from RNAcentral.
UACGUAGGGGGCAAGCGUUGUCCGGAUUUAUUGGGCGUAAAGAGCGUGUAGGCGGCCUGGUAGGUCAGCUGUGAAAACUCGAGGCUCAACCUCGAGACGCCGGUUGAAACCAUCAGGCUAGAGUCCGGAAGAGGAGAGUGGAAUUCCUGGUGUAGCGGUGAAAUGCGCAGAUAUCAGGAAGAACACCCGUGGCUAAGGCGGCUCUCUAGUACGGUACUGACGCUGAGACGCGAAAGCGUGGGGAGCGAACAGG